GAUGAACGCUGGCGGCGUGCCUAAUACAUGCAAGUCGAGCGAACAGACGAGGAGCUUGCUCCUCUGACGUUAGCGGCGGACGGGUGAGUAACACGUGGAUAACCUACCUAUAAGACUGGGAUAACUUCGGGAAACCGGAGCUAAUACCGGAUAAUAUAUUGAACCGCAUGGUUCAAUAGUGAAAGACGGUUUUGCUGUCACUUAUAGAUGGAUCCGCGCCGCAUUAGCUAGUUGGUAAGGUAACGGCUUACCAAGGCAACGAUGCGUAGCCGACCUGAGAGGGUGAUCGGCCACACUGGAACUGAGACACGGUCCAGACUCCUACGGGAGGCAGCAGUAGGGAAUCUUCCGCAGUGGGCGAAAGCUUGACGGAGCAACGCCGCGUGAGUGAUGAAGGUCUUCGGAUCGUAAAACUCUGUUAUUAGGGAAGAACAAAUGUGUAAGUAACUAUGCACGUCUUGACGGUACCGAGUCAGAAAGCCACGGCUAACUACGU
This 496-nucleotide ribosomal RNA is filed under the name uncultured bacterium. RNAcentral's name for it is "partial 16S ribosomal RNA". It matches the Rfam family "Bacterial small subunit ribosomal RNA", at positions 28 to 506 of the family's 1533-position model. The record is from RNAcentral.